AUUGUUUCUCGGCCUUUUGGCUAAGAUCAAGUGUAGUAUCAGACUUGAACUCAAUGAGCCGCCCGAAAACUAGUGGUAUAAGAGUACAGUGGAAAGAGUAAGGAUUUCCAGAUUCAUUCUAAGCUUAACUUGUUCGGGCAAGUUAUGUAGCUUUC
Molecule: small nuclear RNA, 155 nt
Filed under: Panthera leo (lion)
Lineage: Eukaryota; Metazoa; Chordata; Mammalia; Carnivora; Felidae
Description: U2 spliceosomal RNA (ENSPLOG00000017489.1)
Rfam family: U2 spliceosomal RNA
About the family: U2 is a small nuclear RNA (snRNA) component of the spliceosome (involved in pre-mRNA splicing). Complementary binding between U2 snRNA (in an area lying towards the 5' end but 3' to hairpin I) and the branchpoint sequence (BPS) of the intron results the bulging out of an unpaired adenosine, on the BPS, which initiates a nucleophilic attack at the intronic 5' splice site, thus starting the first of two transesterification reactions that mediate splicing.
Source: Rfam by way of RNAcentral